GCCUGGGAAUACCAGGUGCUGUAAGCUUUAGCAUUUUCUUCACUAAGCAUGGUCGGGCCUGGUUAGUACUUGGAUGGGAGACUGCCUGAGAAUACCAGGUUCUGUAAGCU
This 110-nucleotide ribosomal RNA is filed under the name Sinocyclocheilus grahami. The record is from RNAcentral. Lineage: Eukaryota; Metazoa; Chordata; Actinopteri; Cypriniformes; Cyprinidae.